UACAUGCAAGUCGAACGGCAGCACAGGAGAGCUUGCUCUCUGGGUGGCGAGUGGCGGACGGGUGAGGAAUACAUCGGAAUCUACUUUUUCGUGGGGGAUAACGUAGGGAAACUUACGCUAAUACCGCAUACGACCUACGGGUGAAAGCAGGGGAUCUUCGGACCUUGCGCGAUUGAAUGAGCCGAUGUCGGAUUAGCUAGUUGGCGGGGUAAAGGCCCACCAAGGCGACGAUCCGUAGCUGGUCUGAGAGGAUGAUCAGCCACACUGGAACUGAGACACGGUCCAGACUCCUACGGGAGGCAGCAGUGGGGAAUAUUGGACAAUGGGCGCAAGCCUGAUCCAGCCAUACCGCGUGGGUGAAGAAGGCCUUCGGGUUGUAAAGCCCUUUUGUUGGGAAAGAAAUCCAGCUGGUUAAUACCCGGUUGGGAUGACGGUACCCAAAGAAUAAGCACCGGCCAACUUCGUGCCAGCAGCCGCGGUAAUACGAAGGGUGCAAGCGU
Molecule: ribosomal RNA, 500 nt
Filed under: uncultured bacterium
Lineage: Bacteria
Description: bacterial SSU rRNA
Rfam family: Bacterial small subunit ribosomal RNA
Source: RNAcentral